UUUUUUGCAAACCAAAGCCUGUUGAAACGCAUGUCUGAGCCCCACGGGGUGAAAAAAGUUAAUACAACUUUCAACAACGGAUCUCUUKGCUUUCGCAUCGAUGAAGGACGCCGCGAAAGUGCGAAACGUAAUGUGAAUUGCAGAAUUCAGUGAAUCAUCGAAUCUUUGAACGCAUCUUGCGCUCCUUGGUAUUCCGAGGAGCAUGCCUGUUUGAGUGUCGUGAACAUCCCUCGACCCGACUCCUUGGUGAGUUUGGGUUGGAUUUGGACGCUUGCGGCGGGCCCCUCUCCCGUCGCUCGUCUUUAAAUGCAUCAGCUGGCCCCCCUCGGGUCGGACCGAUGACGGUGUGAUAAAUUGCCGCCGUUUUGGCCCGACCUUUCUUACGUGCGUGGGGUCGCUCCUAACCGUCCCCUCGGGACAAAUAGGCUUUUCAUGUCAAUCUGACCUCAAAUCAGGUAGGACUACCCGCUGAACUUAAGCAUAUCAAUAAGCGGAGGAAAAGAAACUAACAAGGAUUCCCCUAGUAACGGCGAGUGAAGCGGGAAGAGCUCAAAUUUGUAAUCUGGCGCGCCUUGGCCGUCCGAGUGUAGUC
Molecule: ribosomal RNA, 592 nt
Filed under: Ramaria largentii
Lineage: Eukaryota; Fungi; Basidiomycota; Agaricomycetes; Gomphales; Gomphaceae
Description: eukaryotic LSU rRNA
Rfam family: 5.8S ribosomal RNA (bases 66-220)
Source: RNAcentral